This 429-nucleotide ribosomal RNA is filed under the name Bacteroidota bacterium. RNAcentral describes it as "Bacteroidetes bacterium partial 16S ribosomal RNA". It matches the Rfam family "Bacterial small subunit ribosomal RNA", at positions 355 to 776 of the family's 1533-position model. The record is from RNAcentral. Lineage: Bacteria; Pseudomonadati; Bacteroidota.
UAGGGAAUCUUCGGCAAUGGGGGGAACCCUGACCGAGCAACGCCGCGUGAGUGAAGAAGGUUUUUGGAUCGUAAAGCUCUGUUGUUAAGGAAGAACGAGUGUGAGAAUGGAAAGUUCAUACUGUGACGGUACUUAACCAGAAAGGGACGGCUAACUACGUGCCAGCAGCCGCGGUAAUACGUAGGUCCCGAGCGUUGUCCGGAUUUAUUGGGCGUAAAGCGAGCGCAGGCGGUUAGAUAAGUCUGAAGUUAAAGGCAGUGGCUCAACCAUUGUAGGCUUUGGAAACUGUUUAACUUGAGUGCAGAAGGGGAGAGUGAAAUUCCAUGUGUAGCGGUGAAAUGCGUAGAUAUAUGGAGGAACACCGGUGGCGAAAGCGGCUCUCUGGUCUGUAACUGACGCUGAGGCUCGAAAGCGUGGGGAGCGAACAGG